Molecule: ribosomal RNA, 254 nt
Filed under: uncultured bacterium
Lineage: Bacteria
Description: partial 16S ribosomal RNA
Rfam family: Bacterial small subunit ribosomal RNA
Source: RNAcentral
GACGUAGGGCGCGAGCGUUGUCCGGAUUUAUUGGGCGUAAAGAGCUCGUAGGCGGCUUGUCGCGUCGUCUGUGAAAACCCGCGGCUCAACGGCGGGCUUGCAGUCGAUACGGGCAGGCUAGAGUGUGGUAGGGGGAGAUCGGAAUUCCUGGUGUAGCGGUGAAAUGCGCAGAUAUCAGGAGGAACACCGGUGGCGAAGGCGGAUCUCUGGGCCAUUACUGACGCUGAGGAGCGAAAGCGUGGGGAGCAAACAGG